RNAcentral lists this ribosomal RNA (231 nucleotides) under uncultured bacterium. RNAcentral's name for it is "partial 16S ribosomal RNA". It matches the Rfam family "Bacterial small subunit ribosomal RNA", at positions 118 to 347 of the family's 1533-position model. The record is from RNAcentral.
UGAGCAAUCUGCCCUUCACAUCGGAAUAACCAUUGGAAACGAUGGCUAAUACCGAAUAUGACUUCGGAUCGCAUGAUCUGAAGUGGAAAGCUCCGGCGGUGAAGGAUGAGCUCGCGGCCUAUCAGCUUGUUGGUGUGGUAAUGGCCCACAAGGCGACGACGGGUAGCCGGCCUGAGAGGGUCGACCCGGCCACACGUGGGACUGACGACACGGCCCAGAUCCGUAACGGGG